GAUGAAGAACGUAGCGAAAUGCGAUAAGUAAUGUGAAUUGCAGAAUUCAGUGAAUCAUCGAAUCUUUGAACACACCUUGCACCCUUUGGCAUUCUGAAGGGUAUGCUCGUUUGAGUGUCAUUGUACUCUCACACUCCCGAUCUUUGCAUUGGGAGCAGUGGACUUGGGUUUGCUGCUUCACCGUCGCUUACCUCAAAUAGGUUAGUGCAACUCUUGGUUGGACAUAGUACGGCGUGAUAAGUGUUCUUCGCCGGUGCCUCGCAAAGAGGGUGGCCGAUCGGGAUGUUGUGCUCCAAACCGUCUUCGGACAAUCUCUGACGACUUGACCUCAAAUCGAGUAAGACUACCCGCUGAACUUAAGCAUAUCAAUAAGCGGAGGA
This 380-nucleotide unclassified non-coding RNA is filed under the name soil metagenome. RNAcentral's name for it is "partial contains 5.8S ribosomal RNA, internal transcribed spacer 2, and large subunit ribosomal RNA". The stretch from base 1 to 120 matches the Rfam family "5.8S ribosomal RNA", at positions 35 to 154 of the family's 154-position model. The record is from RNAcentral.